RNAcentral lists this ribosomal RNA (426 nucleotides) under uncultured Pseudomonadaceae bacterium. Its description in RNAcentral is "bacterial SSU rRNA". It matches the Rfam family "Bacterial small subunit ribosomal RNA", at positions 356 to 774 of the family's 1533-position model. The record is from RNAcentral. Lineage: Bacteria; Pseudomonadati; Pseudomonadota; Gammaproteobacteria; Pseudomonadales; Pseudomonadaceae.
GGGGAAUAUCGGACAAUGGGCGAAAGCCUGAUCCAGCCAUGCCGCGUGUGUGAAGAAGGUGUGCGUGUUGUAAAGGACUAUAAGGCGGGAGGGAGGGCAGUGAGUUAAUACCUUGCUGUUUGGACGUUACCAACAGAGUAGGCGCGGGGUAACUUCGUGCCAGCAGCCGCGGUAAUACGAAGGGUACAAGCGUUAAUCGGAAUUACUGGGCGUAAAGCGCGCGUAGGUGGUUCAGCAAGUUGGAUGUGAAAUCCCCGGGCUCAACCUGGGAACUGCAUCCAAAACUACUGAGCUAGAGUACGGUAGAGGGUGGUGGAAUUUCCUGUGUAGCGGUGAAAUGCGUAGAUAUAGGAAGGAACACCAGUGGCGAAGGCGACCACCUGGACUGAUACUGACACUGAGGUGCGAAAGCGUGGGGAGCAAACA